GUGCAAAAAAAAAUUACGCUGCAAUUUCAAGCUUUCAUAUUAAGAAAACGAUAAGAGUUUGCUGCAUACUUACAGCGUAUAAAAUGUUCCUCUCGACGAGCUCUACAUUUUAUACUCUGACCUCAAAAGAGUCCGACUGUCUGUUCAAAAGUUACGACGGGAUGAUUCUUAAAAGUAUAGUAUUGUGUGUAUAUCUUUUUAAAGGUAACAGAUAUCAACCUACUAUAAACUGCAAAGAUGAUCAGUAGUUCAAAACCUUCAAUUUGAGGUCAAUGUCAGGUCAUGAUGAAAUUUCACCUUGACCUUCAUAUUUUACUAUGACCUUGACCUUGUAAUAUUUGAAAGGUCAAGUGGUCCUGAGUUGAAUGGUGAUAGUCCCAUGUCUCUUCGACUUUCGGUUCUCAAGUUGUGUAUUGCAUCAUAUAUUUGAUGAUUAAUUGUGACCUUGGUGAACUUUGAAAUUGUCCCAAUUCUUUUUCUAUAAUGUUGUCCUUCAACUGUAGAUCAUUUAUCAUUUAACAGAUUUGAGAUAUCUAUUGUCGUUUUAGAGAUAAUGCAGUUUGAAGUUUUUCGAGCGGAGGCAUGUAUUUCUGAAUCAUCAAGAGCUUACCACUUGAAAUGUUUUAGAAAUUGAAGAGGUUGACAUAGUUAUAUGUUUGACCAAAUACCAAAAACAUUCCAUGGAAAAAAACACCAAAAAAAUCAAUUUGAAAUUUUCAAGUUUUGCAUUGACUUUGUAAGUUUCAUAACUUCUAUUUAUAUAAUUGAUAUUGCAUCAUUAUUAUUGCACUUUGUCAAAUGGGGUCAUCUGAUAUAUCAAAUUGAAGGUCUUAAUAAACUCUACUUAAAAAUGAAAAUUGUAAACCCCCUUUUUAUCCCAGGGGGACGGGUGGGGUCAUUUAGUGCAAACAUUCAAAUUUCUCAGAUGGUAAGGUUGUCGCAUAUCAAAUGAAAGAACAUAAAGCGUACAUUUCAAAUUUCAAAUUGACGUCUCCAAAAAAUGGGUUGGAUGGGGUCAUUGAGUGCAAAAAAUAAAUGUUCUUUUAAGGUAGGGUUGUUGUAUAUCAAAUGAAAGGUCAUGAUGUGUACAUUUGAAAUAUCAAAUUCCCGACCUCCAAAAAUUUGUUGGAUAGGGUUAUUAAGUGCAAAAAUCAAACUUUCAAGAACAUGGUGUUGUCGCAUAUCAAACGAAAGCUCAUCUACUCUGUUCCAUAUAUCAUAAUUCCGAUCUCAAAAAUGUAGACGGAUGAGGUCAUUAAGUGUAAAAAGCGAUAAGUUUCAGAAGGUGUGCUUGUCGUAUAUCAAACGAAAGGUCGUACAAAGUACAAUACGAAAACAUCACUUUUACAGGAAAGACCUUUCAAUUGUUUUACAAACAAUUGAGAUACUAGUUGUAUCUUAAGUU
This 1405-nucleotide long non-coding RNA is filed under the name Mytilus galloprovincialis (Mediterranean mussel). The record is from RNAcentral. Lineage: Eukaryota; Metazoa; Mollusca; Bivalvia; Mytilida; Mytilidae.